Molecule: ribosomal RNA, 429 nt
Filed under: uncultured bacterium
Lineage: Bacteria
Description: bacterial SSU rRNA
Rfam family: Bacterial small subunit ribosomal RNA
Source: RNAcentral
GUGGGGAAUAUUGCACAAUGGAGGAAACUCUGAUGCAGCAACGCCGCGUGAAGGAAGAAGGUUUUCGGAUCGUAAACUUCUAUCAAUAGGGACGAAACAAAUGACGGUACCUAAAUAAGAAGCCCCGGCUAACUACGUGCCAGCAGCCGCGGUAAUACGUAGGGGGCAAGCGUUAUCCGGAAUUACUGGGUGUAAAGGGAGCGUAGGCGGCAUGGUAAGCCAGAUGUGAAAGCCCGAAGCUUAACUUCGAGGAUUGCAUUUGGAACUAUCAAGCUAGAGUACAGGAGAGGAAAGCGGAAUUCCUAGUGUAGCGGUGAAAUGCGUAGAUAUUAGGAAGAACACCAGUGGCGAAGGCGGCUUUCUGGACUGAAACUGACGCUGAGGCUCGAAAGCGUGGGGAGCAAACAGGAUUAGAUACCCUGGUAGUCC